AAGUGUAGAAGCAGAGUAUCGAGCUAUAGCCUUAGCCACUUAUGAGCUUAUUUGGUUAAUUCAGCUUCUUUAGGAAUUAAAAUGUGGAGGUGACAAAGAAAUGAAGUUGAUUUGCAACAAUUAAGAAACGUUGCAUAUUACUUGAAAUCCCAUGUUUCAUGAAGGAAUGAAACCAAUAGAGAUAAACUGUCACUUUGUCACGUGGAAGAUUGAGUCGAAAUGUAUUGCUACUAGUUAUAUCUCUUCCAAUGAUCAGUUAGCAAAAAUUCUCACCAAAUUUCUCAAAGAAUCUAGGAUUGAUUACAUUUGUAAUA
This 314-nucleotide unclassified non-coding RNA is filed under the name Hevea brasiliensis (rubber tree). Lineage: Eukaryota; Viridiplantae; Streptophyta; Magnoliopsida; Malpighiales; Euphorbiaceae. The record is from RNAcentral.